AUUUUUUUAUAGCAUUGUAUUCUCUCUAAGAUCAAUUAUAUGUAUGCCCAUGUGCUUGUCAGCCACACUUUUUCAGUCCACCAAGAAUUGAUUCAAUGCGGGAUAAAACUGUUAACGUGUAUGAGACAUUUCUAGGUUUUAGUAGUAUUGAUUUUGAAGAGAAAGAGAAAUCAAUACAAAUAUACUAAACAUGAAUGAAUUCACCCGAAACUAGAGAUUUAGGUAGUUUAUAAACAUGAAUGAAAAUUGAGUUCAAGAUUUUAUGGACCUUAUUCAAUCAUAGAGAUAGAGAAGAAUGGAGCACAACUACAAGAGAAAUACCAUUUUCUUCUGUGUUUCUGGUCCAGUUCUAUCACCACCACCCCAAUUCAAACAUGCUUAAUUCAUAAUUAACUUAAAAACAUGCACCCGAAAUUUGCAUGAUUGGAGGACCGAAGAGAACAAAGUAUUGCAAGCUAAGUUACACAAGAUAAAUAAAACAAUCUCAUAAAAAUUCAUUCACUCAAACAAAAAUCUGCUUUCAACAUUUCCAGGAAAAGGAGGACAGGAUGAAAUUUUGUGGUAGAGCUAAAAGGUUACAACACAAUUGAUAAAACAAUUAACCAAGAAAAACAAAUGCAUGAACAAAUAUCAAGAAACAGGGAAGCUCCCAAAUGAUGCAAGCUUACACUGGGGACAAGAACAGGAAGCCUGAGAUGAUGUUUCCUGAAGUUAAAAAGAACAAACCGUGGGGACAUAGAUCAUCAAGAAUGAAAAAUAUGGAUUAUGAUAUAUGAUACAAAUUAAAAAGUUCAUAAAGAAAUUAAUUUGAUCAACGUACCUAUGAUACCAACUACUGUUCGAGCAAUAUCAUCUGUUGUUGCUGCAGUCAUGGUUAUAUCAGAACGAAAGAAUGUUUUAAUUUGUUUUGUGAGUAUAUAUGAUCAGUGAAUGAAUAUAUCUAUAUAUAUUAGAGUCGGUGAAUAAAGGAGAGAGUAGUUCCAAAAUAAAACUAAUUGUAUUAUAUGCUGAAUAAAUCAGCUGGUUGAUCACAUGCAUGACAUGUGUUGGGGUGUGUACGUAACAAGUUGCUACAAUCAAAGGGAUAUAUAUAGAGAACCAGAAAGAUUUUUGUCACUGUCUCAAAUCUGUAGUACUAAUACUACCACUGAGAUGCUUCAGACCCUACUUAGCAAACGCCACAGUUAUCAGAAAGCGACUUGCGCUAACUUUCAAUUCUUUCACGGUAAAAGUAACAAAAUAUUACUUCUAAAAUUAGAUAACAAACCUUUGUGGUAACUUGGGCAAUUAUUAUUGGACAUGGGACAUGUCAUUACAAGGUCAACUUUUGAAAUGUCAAGUAACCAAUUACCUCAAAAACUUAAAUUAUUGGCUAAGGACCACAUGAAUGAUUUUAUAAUAUAUAUAUUCAAACACACUCUUUUAUGCAAGAGCCUUUUGUGCUUGAAGCGUGGAUAAAUGCACAGUUCCACCCUACCAUGUGCUUAAAUUCUAAUUUUUAAUUAGAAAGUGAUGGGAGCAAAGAUUGAACUUUAGACCGCUAAGUCAUAGAGACUCUAACAUCAUGUUAGGGAACCAAUUAUCCUAAUAGCGUAGGGCCACAUGAAUGGUUUCAUAAUAUAUUUUAACAUGAAGAAAGUAGAAUUAUUUUAUUUAUUUUUAAAUAAGCUCUCAAGAAAGUAGAGUGAAAUUGAUUGUAAGACACACUUCACUGCUUAAGACCCGGCUCCUUGCCUUGGAAUCAUUUUCCUUAUUUACCCUAUUUAACUCUUUUGUGUUCACAAGUUUUGGAUGCAUAAGAAUGAGGACCAAGUACUAAAUUGCAGAGAUGGUUCCUUUGUCCUUCAAGUGAACACAAAAGCUCGAACUUAACAGGCAUGAGGUGUUUUGAGGAAAAAAUAAUUCGAGGUUAAUUUUAUCAAUUACCAUUUACCGCCUUGUCUUUAUAAUGCUUUUGCCAAUCUGAUAGCAACCAUUCCAACUUUAAUCUCUUUGGUAUGACAGCAAUUGUAUCUAAUUUAUAUUUAUAGUUAGUUAAUGGACCCAUGAACAUAAAAUUCAUCCCUAAUUCACAUUUAGUUACGACAAAAUGAGACUGUCUAAAUGAUUCAUGAGAUUGCAAUCAUAUAGGAGAUAAGUGAGUUAUAUUUUUUAUGUUUUAUAUAUUAAUUUAUUUAUAAAAAAAAUUCAUUGAUCCAUUAAAUUAUGGAUUAGUAACUCACAUGGAUUAUUUAGAAAAUCCUAGAUAGUAAAAGUUCACUAUUGAAAAAGUUUCUAGCUUUUACAUGUGCAAAUAAAAGAUGAGAUAAUGUUGGUUGAGAUUUUUUCUUUUGGGGGUCAAAAUGUUGGGUGAGAUUGUCUGCCGAUAAAAUAAGAUAAAAAUUGAUUGAAGACAUGAGUGAUUGUAUUUUCCUCCUGUAACCAAAAAGACAUGAGUGAUUGUGAUUUACAAAGGACGAAAUAAAUUGCGUCAUCAACAUAAUAAUUAAGUAAAGUUGCUUGUCUAAUUAUUGGUAAACCAGUAUACAAAAUGAAAUUGACUUUCUUUUGAAGCAUGUGUUCUUUGAAGCUUCCAUAACAUGGUAACCCACUACGACAACACAACACUUAAUAAGAAUCUAAUCCAACACUUUUAUCUAGUCCAAAAAGAAGAAAAUAGAACACAUAAUGUUAGAAGAAAAGUAGCACAUGUAGGGAAUAUAUAAGGUUCACUUGAAGCGUAAUUAUAAUUUGAUUCCUACAUUGGUUCCAUUCUUCUAUGGCCAAUUCUGUGGUGGCCAAUUAUGAGAAAUGGAGUGCAAUGGUUAUGACUUGCUGGUGUUCGAUUAAAGUUAUGAUUCAUUCACACUUUUUAUUAUAUUUCACUUUAUUUCUACUUUCAUGUUCUAUUUGUUUCUAUCUUCACUUUCAAUCAAACCAUUUAUCACAUCUCUUAUAUCACAUCUUCACUUUUAUUCAAACCAUUUCACUCUAUUUCCACUUAAAGAAAGUGUAAAUGGAACUUUUUCCUUUUCUUUAGUAGCUAAUCCUCAACAGUAGACCAAUAUGAAGUAGUGAAUGCAUGUCUUGUUUUUUUCAAAGAGAUUCAUCAUUCAUUCAUACAAGCAAUACGUAAAGAGAUUCAUUCAUACAAUCAAUACAUAACAGCCUUAAUGGGCCAUCAAACAAACCACAAACAGAAACAGAUAGAUACUUCACUCAGUGUGGCUACAACCUAAAGUGCAAACAUAAGGACAAAUAAACUAGCUUCGUGGGCUCUGAAUCAAAACAAUGGCCCACACAUUUAACCUGGACCAGAGUUUUGGUUCAAUACAAACUAUAAUAUUUUUUUAGGGCCUGUUUGGUGCGACGUAUAGUAUAAGGCUUUAUAGUAUAAGACCUGAUAGUAUUAAGCAUGAUAGUAUAAGCCCUGAUAACUUUCUUAUACUAUCCAGCGUUUGGUCAUACUCUGUAUAAUUUACCAUAUCGUUUAAAUUAAUGCAAUUUUAUGUUUAAUGAAGUAUUGAAUAAUGAUAUAUAAUAAAAAUCAAAUAUGAAGGUGAUUAUAACGGUGGUGGCGGUGGUGAUGAAAGUGGUGGUAGGUUAGUGUUGGUGGCGGCGGUGGUGAUAGUGGAGAUAGGUUGGUGGUGGUGGUGGUGGUAAGGCGGUGGCGGCUGCGCUAGGGUGGCGGCUACGGUGGAGGGUGGAGGCAAUGGUGACGAUAAGGUGGUGGUUGUGGUGUCGGUGGUGGCGGUGGCGGCAACACCGGUGGUGGCAGUACGAUGGUGGUGGCGGUGGUGGUGAUCGGGAGGUGGCGGUGGUGGCAACGAUGGUGGUUGUGGUGUUGACGACGAUAGGGUGGUGGUGGUGGUGGUAAGGCGGUGGCGGCGACGGUGGAGGGUGGAGGCAAUGGUGGUGGUGGUGGCGAUAGGGUUGUGGUGUCGGUGGUGGCGGUGGCGGCAACACCAGUGGUGACGGUAGGGCGGCGACGGUGGUGAUCGGGUGGCGGCAACACCGGUGGCGGUGGUGGUGUAAGUUGGCAGCAAUGGAUGGUGGUGGUGAUGGUGACUUAUACGUCACAACUUUAUCAUGCAUUAUCCAUCACUCACAUGAUGGAUUAAAUAAUACGUCAUUUUAACGUAUAAGGAGACUUUGAUGGAUAAAAUUAUACAAUACAAUGUCAUCACCAAACAAUGGAUAAACUCAUAAUGUAUUGUAUAAGCUUAUACUAUCAUGCCUAAUACGGUGUGCGAAACAAGCCCUUAGUGACCAAAAAAAAAAACUAUAAUGUUUUCAGUGAAAUAUCUCCUUUUAAAUAAAUGUAUGAAAGAUUGACCAAAAAUAAAUUGUAUGAAACGGCUGACCAAAAUAAUCUAUGAUGGAAGGGAACUACUAUACCUUCUAAAUUGGAGGCAAUUAUCUUCUAAUUAUAGAAAGGGAUGCACUAUCAGACGAGUUAAGAAGAUCUAAGAGCAUAUGCUAUUGCUCAUAGAAGACGAGUGGAGUUUUCAGAUGGAGAUCAAGUCUUUUUUUGAAACAACAACCUUAUACACAGAAAUCAUUGGCCAAAAGAUUGAAUGAAAAUUGAGUACAAGAUUUUAUGGACCUUAUUCAAUCAUAAAGAAGAAUGGAGCACAACUACAAGAGAAAUACCAUUUUCUUCUGUUUCUGGUCCAGUUCUAUCACCACCACCCCAGUUCAAACAUGCUUAAUUCAUAAUUAACUUAAAAACAUGCACCCGAAAUUUGCAUGAUUGGAGGACCGAAGAGAACAAAGUAUUGCAAGCUAAGUUACACAAGAUAAAUAAAACAAUCUCAUAAAAAUUCAUUCACUCAAACAAAAAUCUGCUUUCAACAUUUCCAGGAAAAGGAGGACAGGAUGAAAUUUUGUGGUAGAGCUAAAAGGUUACAACACAAUUGAUAAAGCAAUUAACCAAGAAAAACAAAUGCAUGAACAAAUAUCAAGAAACAGGGAAGCUCCCAAAUUACAAAUUCAACCCUAUACAAGAUAUUCUAUGUUACAGAAUGUGCAUUCAAUAUAGAAGAGUAAAAAUAUGGUUAAAUUCUAA
This 5047-nucleotide long non-coding RNA is filed under the name Lotus japonicus. Its description in RNAcentral is "long non-coding RNA (LJAP_LNC001944)". The record is from RNAcentral. Lineage: Eukaryota; Viridiplantae; Streptophyta; Magnoliopsida; Fabales; Fabaceae.